AAGAGUUCCUAUAACUCCCAAACCCCUGUGAACAUACCUUCUGUUGCCUCGGCAGGCCCUGGCCUACCCUGUAGCGCCCCUACGCUGUAGGGCCUGCUUAGGGGAGCGCCGGGGGGCCCUGCCGGCGGCCCACGAAACUCUGUUUAGCAUUGAAUUCUGAACGUAUAACUAAAUAAGUUA
Molecule: unclassified non-coding RNA, 180 nt
Filed under: uncultured Xylaria
Lineage: Eukaryota; Fungi; Ascomycota; Sordariomycetes; Xylariales; Xylariaceae
Description: sequence contains ITS1
Source: RNAcentral